RNAcentral lists this transfer RNA (74 nucleotides) under Clostridiales bacterium. RNAcentral describes it as "tRNA-Ile". It matches the Rfam family "tRNA". Rfam says of the family: Transfer RNA (tRNA) molecules are approximately 80 nucleotides in length. Their secondary structure includes four short double-helical elements and three loops (D, anti-codon, and T loops). Lineage: Bacteria; Bacillati; Bacillota; Clostridia; Eubacteriales. The record is from RNAcentral.
CGGAACUUAACUCAGUUCGGUAGAGUGCCGUUCUUAUAAAGCGGUGGUCGCUGGUUCAAAUCCAGUAGUUCCGA